Molecule: long non-coding RNA, 2270 nt
Organism: Etheostoma spectabile (orangethroat darter)
Lineage: Eukaryota; Metazoa; Chordata; Actinopteri; Perciformes; Percidae
Exons: 4
Source: RefSeq, a predicted model, not a curated record
AAUGUAAUGCAUCUAGAAGGUUUGUGGAAGUCCAGUUGACUAGUUAGGGCAGAUCUUAACCUUCAGGAGGGUCUGUUCUAUGGUUAAUCAUCAGUGUUUUCUGGACACUGACGACGUCCCCACAGCACACAUUUGGUCAGUUUCUGAAUAAAAACUGUGUGAAACAUUUAGGACCAAAAUGGUUCCCAUACAAAACUGUUACAUUGUGUGUAAAAUGUCCCCACAAAGCCUGUUGUGUUUGAGUUGUGUGAUUAAAGACAGGGCUUUACACCAAAUUGAUCAUUUAUGUCUCUAUUUUCAUAUUCUAAAACUCUGCCACCAUAAAUGUUUUUACAGACAUCCAGCAUUGAAAGGGACAGCAUUGCUGCAGACAGAUCCAGACCUUUGCCCCUGUCAGACAAUCAGAUUGAUGUCACUGGUCAACACAAAGCUCCUCAAAAGAUGGCCUGCACAGCAACUGAGAGCACUGUGGCAGACAAGUCCAAAAUGUUACCCCUGUCAGACAAUCACAUUCAUGAGAUCACUGGUCAACACAAAACUCAAUAACAGACAUCCAGCAUUGAAAGGGACAGCAUUGCUGCAGACAGAUCCAGACCUUUGCCCCUGUCAGACAAUCAGAUUGAUGUCACUGGUCAACACAAAGCUCCUCGAAAGAUGGCCAGCACAACAACUGAGAGCACUGUGGCAGACAAGUCCAAAAUGUUACCCCUGUCAGACAAUCACAUUCAUGAGAUCACUGGUCAACACAAAACUCAAUAACAGGUAGUGUACAGUCAUGUUCAUCACUGCAGAUUACAUGCUAUAGUCUCUAUAAGUAAGGUUUUGGUAUUUGUCAUGUCUUAAGUAUGUAAGAAGAGGAAGGAAGUGUAAUAAAAUGUGCUCUAGUAUGAAGCAGUAUACGCAACAGUUUAAUGUAAUGCAUCUAGAAGGUUUGUGGAAGUCCAGUUGACUAGUUAGGGCAGAUCUUAACCUUCAGGAGGGUCUGUUCUAUGGUUAAUCUUCAGUGUUUUCUGGACACUGACGACGUCCCCACAGCACACAUUUGGUCAGUUUCUGAAUAAAAACUGUGUGAAACAUUUUGGACCAAAAUGGUUCCCAUUAGACACUGUUACAUUGUGUGUAAAAUGUCCCCACAAAGCCUGUUGUGUUUGAGUUGUGUGAUUUAAAGACAGGGCUUGGCUGGCCAAUAAGAAAUGCUUUACUUUGAAUUUCAUUUUUUUCUCAGAAUUCUGGUAUUUGUUUGCAUGCAUUUCAUGUUAAAGAUUGUGUCUGAACAACAGGUCCAUCAUUGAUUUGUCAGAAGUCUGGUACAUGUUUGCGUGCUAAUAGAAAUAUGACAAAAGUUGUGACUGUGUUUGGGAAUUAAAGAAAUAAUAGUUUUAACAGGGGAAAGUAAAUGGUUUGAAAAGGUUUGUCUUAUUGUCGUAUGUUUUGGUUUGGAAAUUAUCCAGAUAAUUGCUCUUUAAAUCUUUUGUACAUGAGUAGCUAGCUUUUUAUUGCUUUAUUUGAUUUAUAUGUUUAUAGUGCCAAAUCAUAAUAAGUUAUGCUUUUGUACAGAGUAUGUCUAGAUCACAUUCCAAUUUAUGAUUAACAAAGUUCAAUCAAUUCCUCCAUGAGCAACAGCAAGAUGCAAUAUUUAUGUGUUAAACCUUUCUUUUAACAUGCAGGCAUGUCAAACAGACCCGUCUCCAUGGUUACAGCCAUUUGCCUUGACCGGUUAGGAACAAGAGAUCAAUUAAUAUUUACUUGAUUCUCUUAAAUAUUCCUAUUAAAGUUAGAUAUCAAUCAAUCAUAUGUUUUGCUAUGACCUGAAUAUGUAUGAUAUGCAAAAGUGAUGGUUGGAAUCAUUCAUCUUUUCAAGCUUAAUGCUCCAUAUCUAUGUUAUUUAUGAACAACUAAGAUAAUCUGAAUAAAAACAUUUGUUAUUAUUGUACUUUGUAUGCAUCUUUUCAUUCUAAUUGAUUCAAUUUGUAGAUUAAAUCUUUAAUUUAUUUGUUGCAAAGUCCCCACUAAUAACGAUAGAAUUUGUGUGAAUUAUGUAAAUAUCAUGCUAAUGAGGUCCCCACCAACAAUGUUAAUUCGUUUUUUUACUCGUCCCCAAAUAUGAUGGUGAAGUCAUUACUUCAUCAAUUCAGAUGUUUAAAGUUGUGUAUAAGCUAACAAGGCUAUGGUGAGUAUACCUGAUUUUUUUCAUACCUCUAGCACCUUUAGAAAGGGUGGUCCCCACAAAUGAUGGUUAAAAAAUUGGUCCCCAAUAAACAUAAAAACCA